Long non-coding RNA from Neodiprion fabricii, 435 nucleotides. RefSeq lists it as uncharacterized. The record is from RefSeq and is a predicted model, not a curated record. The transcript has 3 exons. NCBI's taxonomy places the organism in Eukaryota, Metazoa, Arthropoda, Insecta, Hymenoptera, Diprionidae.
AAUACGAAUUUCGAGGAUGCGGAUUAUCGUAAAUCGAACGAGUACGAGAUGGACAUGGAGACGAAGCUGAGCAAUUUUCUCUCAAUGACACCAAUGAUCUUGUAAAUCUUGGACCGUGCUUGCAACGAUCUUGCGAACGAUCCAUGUUACUCGGCUAGGCGUACCAUCCCUUGUCGCAAUUACAACGUAAAUAAACUGUGUAGCUGUAGCUGUGUAGCUUUUGCGCAGCGAAACAAAUUGUGGGACAAACACAAGGCGAAAUCUCGCAAACACAGACCCUCGAUGGUCGUCUCGACGGACAUCAGUUACGGGACGCACGUUUGCAUGAAAAACAGUCCAAUGUACCAACCGGGAGCGAUCGGCUUCACCAUCGCCAACGGCGUUCCCAAGGUCAGUCAGCUGCUCUUGGCCGCCUGGAACCUCGAUUCAACUUAC